This 86-nucleotide small RNA is filed under the name Algibacter pectinivorans. RNAcentral's name for it is "Pontirhabdus pectinovorans Flavo-1 RNA". It matches the Rfam family "Flavo-1 RNA". The record is from Rfam by way of RNAcentral. Lineage: Bacteria; Pseudomonadati; Bacteroidota; Flavobacteriia; Flavobacteriales; Flavobacteriaceae.
AAAUAGGUGCGUUAGCGAUAGUAGUGGUUAGCUUUUGGCGAGCGGCCGCUUUGAGCCAAAACUAGUAACGUAUAGCGCGACCCUUG